UUGCGGCGUGCUAAUACAUGCAGUCGAGCGGACAGAAGGGAGCUUGCUCCCGGAUGUUAGCGGCGGACGGGUGAGUAACACGUGGGUAACCUGCCUGUAAGACUGGGAUAACUCCGGGAAACCGGAGCUAAUACCGGAUAGUUCCUUGAACCGCAUGGUUCAAGGAUGAAAGACGGUUUCGGCUGUCACUUACAGAUGGACCCGCGGCGCAUUAGCUAGUUGGUGGGGUAAUGGCUCACCAAGGCGACGAUGCGUAGCCGACCUGAGAGGGUGAUCGGCCACACUGGGACUGAGACACGGCCCAGACUCCUACGGGAGGCACCAGUAGGAAAUCUUCCGCAAUGAACGAAAGUCUGACAGAACAACCCCGCGUGGGUGAAGAA
This 383-nucleotide ribosomal RNA is filed under the name bacterium. Its description in RNAcentral is "bacterial SSU rRNA". It matches the Rfam family "Bacterial small subunit ribosomal RNA", at positions 37 to 412 of the family's 1533-position model. The record is from RNAcentral.